This 216-nucleotide ribosomal RNA is filed under the name uncultured fungus. RNAcentral describes it as "partial small subunit ribosomal RNA". The stretch from base 28 to 216 matches the Rfam family "Eukaryotic small subunit ribosomal RNA", at positions 674 to 864 of the family's 1831-position model. The record is from RNAcentral. Lineage: Eukaryota; Fungi.
GGAUCAUCAGGUUGGUCGUGCCUCUGGUAUGUACUGAUUUCGAUGGUUCCUCCUUCUUGAAGAUCCGUAAUGCCAUUAAUUUGGUGUUGCGGGGAAUCAGGACUGUUACUUUGAAAAAAUUAGAGUGUUUAAAGCAGGCAAUCGCUUGAAUACAUUAGCAUGGAAUAAUGGAACAGGAUUGGGGUCCUGAUUUCGUUGGUUUCUAGGAUCUCAGUA